AUUGAACGCUGGCGGCAGGCUUAACACAUGCAAGUCGAGCGGGGAUUGGGUGCUUGCACCUAAUCUUAGCGGCGGACGGGUGAGUAAUGCUUAGGAAUCUGCCAUUUAGUGGGGGACAACAUUCCGAAAGGGAUGCUAAUACCGCAUACGCCCUACGGGGGAAAGCAGGGGAUCUUCGGACCUUGCGCUAAAUGAUGAGCCUAAGUCGGAUUAGCUAGUUGGUGGGGUAAAGGCCUACCAAGGCGACGAUCUGUAGCGGGUCUGAGAGGAUGAUCCGCCACACUGGGACUGAGACACGGCCCAGACUCCUACGGGAGGCAGCAGUGGGGAAUAUUGGACAAUGGGCGGAAGCCUGAUCCAGCCAUGCCGCGUGUGUGAAGAAGGCCUUUUGGUUGUAAAGCACUUUAAGCGAGGAGGAGGCUACCUGGAUUAAUACUCUAGGAUAGUGGACGUUACUCGCAGAAUAAGCACCGGCUAACUCUGUGCCAGCAGCCGCGGUAAUACAGAGGGUGCGAGCGUUAAUCGGAUUUACUGGGCGUAAAGCGUGCGUAGGCGGCUGAUUAAGUCGGAUGUGAAAUCCCUGAGCUUAACUUAGGAAUUGCAUUCGAUACUGGUCAGCUAGAGUAUGGGAGAGGAUGGUAGAAUUCCAGGUGUAGCGGUGAAAUGCGUAGAGAUCUGGAGGAAUACCGAUGGCGAAGGCAGCCAUCUGGCCUAAUACUGACGCUGAGGUACGAAAGCAUGGGGAGCAAACAGGAUUAGAUACCCUGGUAGUCCAUGCCGUAAACGGUGUCUACUAGCCGUUGGGGCCUUUGAGGCUUUAGUGGCGCAGCUAACGCGAUAAGUAGACCGCCUGGGGAGUACGGUCGCAAGACUAAAACUCAAAUGAAUUGACGGGGGCCCGCACAAGCGGUGGAGCAUGUGGUUUAAUUCGAUGCAACGCGAAGAACCUUACCUGGCCUUGACAUAGUAGAAACUUUCCAGAGAUGGAUUGGUGC
RNAcentral lists this ribosomal RNA (995 nucleotides) under uncultured bacterium. RNAcentral describes it as "bacterial SSU rRNA". It matches the Rfam family "Bacterial small subunit ribosomal RNA", at positions 28 to 1017 of the family's 1533-position model. The record is from RNAcentral.